UACGUAGGUGGCAAGCGUUGUCCGGAUUUAUUGGGUUUAAAGGGUGCGUAGGCGGUCUUUUAAGUCAGUGCUGAAAUAUCCCGGCUUAACCGGGAGGGUGGCAUUGAUACUGAAGGACUUGAGUAAAGUUGAGGUAGGCGGAAUUGACGGUGUAGCGGUGAAAUGCUUAGAUAUCGUCAAGAACACCGAUAGUGUAGACAGCUUACUAAACUAUAACUGACGCUGAGGCACGAAAGUGUGGGGAUCAAACAGG
This 253-nucleotide ribosomal RNA is filed under the name uncultured bacterium. RNAcentral describes it as "partial 16S ribosomal RNA". It matches the Rfam family "Bacterial small subunit ribosomal RNA", at positions 524 to 776 of the family's 1533-position model. The record is from RNAcentral.